Pelobates cultripes (western spadefoot toad) is the source of this 223-nucleotide non-coding RNA. Lineage: Eukaryota; Metazoa; Chordata; Amphibia; Anura; Pelobatidae. The record is from the annotation of a GenBank genome assembly.
GGACCAUCCUCUGGCAUCCUGAUUCAAGAGACACCAGGGUUCAUCUUAACGGAGAAGAGGAUCCUGACCCGACGUGUGUUCGUCAGCUUGGACCCCAAGAUUUCCAUCAAGAAGGCAUACAACAUUUCAUCGAUGCAGCUUCCUGAGUUACAGACUUGGUACCAGAUGCACCUCCAAAGAGCACAGGACCGUGUGCGAAACAUCUUGGAGCAAGCCCAGAAAC